GAGAGGGCGAGGAGAGAGUUCGCGGUCGUCCCCCAAAGAGGCCCUCAGAAGCAACUCCAGCAAAGCAAACCCAGAAAUUCCAGAUCAGCCUUUUGAGAGAAAAGUGAGAUUUUCACAAGCCUUCGAUAAAAAUUAGCCAAAACCUUCAACUAGAGAGUGAAACUCCACUCAAAUAUCUUUCCAUCCAUAGGUCGCACGUCCUAAAUGGAGAUCAGGAAGGCCUCCUAAAGCCCCCCGAAAAACACCCUCCAGGCGGGCCAGGAAAAGUGUUGAGCCCAGUUGGUCACGAGUGGAGAAAAGGCAGUGUUUUUGAGAAAUUUUAGAAACAAAUGAGGAAAAUAUUGACCUCUACCCCAAACUAGAAUACAUAUAGUUUGGCUUGGUGGCAAUUUUUACAAAAACAUACGUCUUGAAGUCUAAUUUUAGAGGUCAACGAAAAACUUCGUUGUUAGUUCUUCUUUUCUGCAGAUCUCAUUUCCAGUUGAAGAAGCCAACUUCCACGUGCUUCCAGAGGACAAUUUCUCGGUUUCCUUGGCCAAGAACCACUUGAAAAGGAAACUAGGAAGUAAGGUAAGCAUCCUAGAUGUACUUAUUUUCGAGUUUGAGCAUGUUUUGAUCAUGAAAAUCAAGAGGAAAACCAGUCCGGAAAACUGAUUUCUGAGGCUGAAAUUUU
Molecule: long non-coding RNA, 673 nt
Filed under: Eucalyptus grandis
Lineage: Eukaryota; Viridiplantae; Streptophyta; Magnoliopsida; Myrtales; Myrtaceae
Description: long non-coding RNA (EGRA_LNC007398)
Source: RNAcentral